GGACCCGCACAAGUAGUGGAGCAUGUGGUUUAAUUCGAAGAUACGCGCAGAACCUUACCAACACUUGACAUGUUCGUCGCGACUUUAAGAGAUUAAAGUUUUCGGUUCGGCCGGACGAAACACAGGUGCUGCAUGGCUGUCGUCAGCUCGUGUCGUGAGAUGUUCCGUUAAGUCGGAUAACGAGCGCAACCCUUACCCUUAUUUGCCAGCGAUUCGGUCGGGAACUAUAAGGGGACUGCCGGUGAUAAACCGGAGGAAGGUGAGGACGACGUCAAGUCAUCAUGGCCCUUACGAGUAGGGCUACACACGUGCUACAAUGGGGAAUACAGACGGACGCUAAGCCGCGAGGUGGUGAU
RNAcentral lists this ribosomal RNA (356 nucleotides) under uncultured bacterium. RNAcentral's name for it is "bacterial SSU rRNA". It matches the Rfam family "Bacterial small subunit ribosomal RNA", at positions 917 to 1269 of the family's 1533-position model. The record is from RNAcentral.